Molecule: ribosomal RNA, 407 nt
Filed under: uncultured bacterium
Lineage: Bacteria
Description: partial 16S ribosomal RNA
Rfam family: Bacterial small subunit ribosomal RNA
Source: RNAcentral
AUUGAACGCUGGCGGCAGGCCUAACACAUGCAAGUCGAGCGGAGCGGCGGGCAGGGGAGUAAUGCCCAGGAAUCUGCCUGGUAGUGGGGGAUGACGUCCGGAAGCGGGCGCUAAUACCGCAUACUAUCAGAUGAGCCUAGGUGGGCUUAGCGAGUUGGUGGGGUAAAGGCCUACCAAGGCGACGAUCCGUAACUGGUCGGAGAGGAGGAUCAGUCACACUGGAAGUGUGAGACGGUCCAGACUCCUACGGGAGGCAGCAGUGGGGAAGAGUGGACAAUGGGCGAAAGCCUGAUCCAGCCAUGCCGGGUGUGUGAAGAAGGUCUUCGGAUGGUAAAGCACUUUAAGUUGGGAAGCGUUACCAACAGAAUAAGCACCGGCUAACUUCGUGCCAGCAGCCGCGGUAAUAC